AUAAAUAAAGAUGGGUGGAAAUGUUUGUGGUAUUUCCAGACAAGAUACCAUUUUGCCGUAGUUUGUCGUUUCCUGGGUCCAGCUACAGACUGGAGGUGGCGCUAGCUUUCGCUGGUUCCUCAUGAGAAGAGUACAGAAUUUUCUCAUAGUAACAUAUUAAUUCUUUUAGAGAUUCCUAUGCUGAAUAUUUCCAGAAUGCUCGAUUCAAGUAGCAGCUCAGAAGAGUGAUUUUAGAAGGUGAGUUGAGCCUCAACUCAACUUGAAGGGAUCUAGAAUCCAAUUCUAAUAACCUUUGUAGUCUCUCCCCUUCUAUUGGCGCUCAUGUAUACCCUACUUCUGAGGAAAGAGGAGCAUAGGAUCAAAGAGUUUUUCG
Molecule: unclassified non-coding RNA, 373 nt
Filed under: Hevea brasiliensis (rubber tree)
Lineage: Eukaryota; Viridiplantae; Streptophyta; Magnoliopsida; Malpighiales; Euphorbiaceae
Source: RNAcentral